This 276-nucleotide unclassified non-coding RNA is filed under the name uncultured fungus. RNAcentral describes it as "partial contains small subunit ribosomal RNA, internal transcribed spacer 1, and 5.8S ribosomal RNA". The stretch from base 1 to 73 matches the Rfam family "Eukaryotic small subunit ribosomal RNA", at positions 1759 to 1831 of the family's 1831-position model. The record is from RNAcentral. Lineage: Eukaryota; Fungi.
GCAAACUUGGUCAUUUAGAGGAAGUAAAAGUCGUAACAAGGUCUCCGUUGGUGAACCAGCGGAGGGAUCAUUACCGAGUUUACAACUCCCAAACCCCUGUGAACAUACCUAUCGUUGCUUCGGCGGAUCCGCCCCGGCGCCCUCGGGCCCGGACCCAGGCGCCCGCCGGAGGACCCAAACUCUUGUAUCCAUUGAGAUUUUCUGAGUAAAACAAGCAAAUAAAUCAAAACUUUCAACAACGGAUCUCUUGGUUCUGGCAUCGAUGAAGAACGCAGC